CAGGGAAUCUUGCGCAAUGGGCGAAAGCCUGACGCAGCGACGCCGCGUGCGGGAUGAAGGCCUUCGGGUUGUAAACCGCUUUCAGCAGGGACGAAAUUGACGGUACCUGCAGAAGAAGCCCCGGCCAACUACGUGCCAGCAGCCGCGGUAAUACGUAGGGGGCAAGCGUUGUCCGGAUUUAUUGGGCGUAAAGGGCUCGUAGGCGGCUUGCUAAGUCGGGUGUGAAAUCUCCAGGCUCAACCUGGAGCGGUCACUCGAUACUGGCAUGGCUUGAGUCCGGUAGGGGACCACGGAAUUCCACGUGUAGCGGUGAAAUGCGCAGAUAUGUGGAGGAACACCGGUGGCGAAGGCGGUGGUCUGGGCCGGAACUGACGCUGAGGAGCGAAAGCGUGGGUAGCAAACAG
Molecule: ribosomal RNA, 404 nt
Filed under: uncultured bacterium
Lineage: Bacteria
Description: bacterial SSU rRNA
Rfam family: Bacterial small subunit ribosomal RNA
Source: RNAcentral